CCUAUACGGCGAUACGUGUUCGAUUCUGGAUGGCUUCAUAGCCGUGAUCUGGUGGUGGUCGCCGGCUCGCCGAUCUCUGCUCCCGCGGCGGCGCCAUUGCUAGCGCCCCGUCGGCCGGCGCCCUCCUCUCCGCCUCCGCCCCCACGCUCCGAAUCCAUGGGUGGCUACCACCGCACACUCCGCCCCCCGCACUCCAGCCGCCCUCCGCGCUCUUGCCCUUCCCCCCACCGGAGAAGGCGGCAACACUGCAAGCUAGGUAGCAGCGACGACCUUGCUACCGGCUCGCCUCAUCAGCCACAGCGGCAGCCUCCCGAUCCCCCCAGGGUGAGCAUCCGUCAGCAUGCCUGGAUACUGAUGUGUGAAGGUGUCCCAGAUGCUUGGUCCUCUGCCACCCUUCGCCGCGGCACCCUCAAACUGCAUCAUGUGUGAAACAGCAGUCAAUUUGUCAGGUUUCAGAUCUGAAACAGAGCACAUCGUGAUGAGAUGAGAAGGAAUCAGGAAACACAUUUUUCAGUGCCAUCAUUUUCUGGUUACCUACAUCAAUGAGGAAGGAUGAGGUUGGAUGCCUG
This 569-nucleotide long non-coding RNA is filed under the name Oryza sativa Indica Group (long-grained rice). Its description in RNAcentral is "lncRNA OsMH63_04G017420". Lineage: Eukaryota; Viridiplantae; Streptophyta; Magnoliopsida; Poales; Poaceae. The record is from RNAcentral.